RNAcentral lists this ribosomal RNA (389 nucleotides) under uncultured Alphaproteobacteria bacterium. RNAcentral's name for it is "bacterial SSU rRNA". It matches the Rfam family "Bacterial small subunit ribosomal RNA", at positions 29 to 448 of the family's 1533-position model. The record is from RNAcentral. Lineage: Bacteria; Pseudomonadati; Pseudomonadota; Alphaproteobacteria.
AACGAACGCUGGCGGCAGGCCUCAUACAUGCAAGUCGAGCGGUCCUUCGGGACAGCGGCGAACGGGUUAGUAACGCGUGGGAACGUGCCCUUUAGUACGGAAUAGCCAUUGGAAACGAUGAUUAAUACCGUAUACGCCCCAAGGGGGAAGAUUUAUCGCUAAAGGAUCGGCCCGCGUUAGAUUAGGUAGUUGGUAGGGUAAUGGCCUACCAAGCCGACGAUCUAUAGCUGGUUUGAGAGGAUGAUCAGCAACACUGGGACUGAGACACGGCCCAGACUUCUACGGAAGGCAGCAGUAGGGAAUCUUGGACAAUGGGCGAAAGCCUGAUCCAGCCAUGCCGCGUGAGUGAUGAAGGCCCUAGGGUUGUAAAGCUCUUUCGCCAGGGAAGA